UGGGUGGGCAUGCCCACAUGUGGACAAGGUGUGGAAUCUUCGCUGCUGUUAAACUUCCAAAUUCUAGGAGCUGUAAAUUUGGCUGGGUAGGGUCUGGGCUUCCAGCCAGCCACCAAGCUGUCCAGACCAAUCACUAUGAAGUGAUUCUGUGGAACGGUGCUCUGAGAAAUGCGCUGAAGUGUGCUCUAAGUCAUUUAUAAGGAGUGCAGAACUUUGUUCACCAAAAUUGGCAUGGAGGCAGAAGUUGGAGCAGGUGAUAUUUGCGAUCCAGGCCUUGAGGACAAGAAAAAAGGAACAGAUGAAAGACUGACUUAUGGUGGAGGCUG
Molecule: long non-coding RNA, 326 nt
Filed under: Fukomys damarensis (Damara mole-rat)
Lineage: Eukaryota; Metazoa; Chordata; Mammalia; Rodentia; Bathyergidae
Description: lncRNA (ENSFDAG00000026562.1)
Source: RNAcentral